Molecule: long non-coding RNA, 4969 nt
Organism: Dromaius novaehollandiae (emu)
Lineage: Eukaryota; Metazoa; Chordata; Aves; Casuariiformes; Dromaiidae
Exons: 2
Source: RefSeq, a predicted model, not a curated record
GCCGUCCUGCCCCGUCCCUUCCCCGCCUGCCCGCCGGCUCGCCCCGGCGGCGGCCCGGCCGGAGCCCCCGGCGCCCGGCUCACCUGGGCGGAUUUCUUGCACGGUCCGGACUGCAGGAACCUGGCGAUCAGGUUUCUCUAAGGACUGUGAUCGAUACGUCUUCGGCUUCUCCAGGGUUCUCCCCUUGAGGAGUAGUCUUUGGCUGGUGAGUAAUGCCCAUCUGCAAGUUUAACUUUCAUUCCCCAGGAACUCGUUUCCACAGCGCACUGCAGCCACUCACAGCUUGCAGCUCCGUGACUCAUCUCUUUCUGGAUCCCCUGCAUCCAAGAAGCGGCGUAUUGGGGAAUGAUAGUAAAUCUCCUUGUGAAAGCAAGAUUUGAUGUUAGUGCUUAUUCAUCUCUCUCCAAAGCAGAAUUCUGUGCGUAAAUGCUAACAGAAGCAGUGGUAAUGAGUAGUGAAGGAAAAACAUAUUAAGUGACAUGAUAAUCUUUGCUAGUGAACAGCAGAGAGAUUCAAAAGCAGAAAUGCUUUAAGGAAGAAGCUUAACAGUUCUUCUCCAUACUUGCAUGUUCUUAAAAAAAAAAAAAAAAAGAAAAGGAACAAUAAAAGGAAAGCCUUUGAAGGAUUUUAGGCGUGGAAAGCUUUAGAUAAAAUACUUCUUUUAAUAUAUACCUCUUGUGAAUAUUUACAUCUGUCUGUACCUUAACUAUGAAAGCUCUGAGGUCUACCCAGUAUCCCUGUCUCCCUUUACAAAUUCCCGCACAGUAUUUAAAGGGUAUUUUCCAUUCGCAUGUGAUUAUUCUCUCUUGCCUACCUGUUCACACACUGUCCCACAGGUAGGACCAGUCCCAUUCUGCCACAGCCAAAUGUUUGAAAGACUGCAGGGGCACCUGCCUCUUCCCUAUGCCUCCUGGCAAGACAGAGUGCAGAUUCUUUAUCAAGAACAUCCCUGAUCCAUAGGAAGCUUGAAAGGGUGGGUAACAAAUGCUGAACAGGUACUGGGAGAAUAUCACUGUUAAGGAGAUUUUUUUGAGGUUAUUGAUACAGGUCAUAAUUAUGUGAGGUUGAUUUAUGAGACUUCAUUUGAUGCAUGUGUAUGCAUUUUUCAUAUCUCCAUAGGCUUACUUAAUUCUGCUUGCUUUUCUACCUUCAUAUUGAUAUCUCUUGUCUCUGAUGAGUAUGCCUGGUUCCCUCACACAACAUCUCUAUAUAAAUGUUACUCCAAGUGAAAACCUGUGAGGAAAAAAGCCCUCAGAAAAACGGCCUCAUAAUUGUGGCAUUGCACCAUUUACUUAUUUAAACCACUUUUAGCUUUAAGAAACCCCCUUGUGAUUAACCUAAUGCACCUUAUCCGUCUGAAAAACUCAUUUCUGACAACUCUCCAGUAAUAUUCCAAUACCCAUCUCUCCCACCCCUUUAAUACACUGGAAGCCUCUCAGCACUUAACAAUAAGCCAUUUCUCAGCUUUUAGCUUCUUUUUGAUGUACCCAGGGCUUCAGUAGUGCUUGCAUUCAGGAUCCUUCUCAUACUUUAAUUGUUAGCAGUCUCUACCUCCUCUGUGAGAUGGUAUAUCACCUAAUGCUCUAUCCGGAGUCAAAAGUGGCAAUUAAAGGCCAUAAAAGGCAUAUUUAGACCACAAAAGUCCAUACACAUUCAGUUUUCUCAACUAAGUGUGAAAACAAACACCUGAAAAAUCAGAAAAGAAAGGGAGUGACACAAGUUCUCUACCAUACAAACAAAAUUUCCUAGAGCCAGAGGUCUGUGAUAGAAUAUGAGAGAACCCUGCAAAGGCAGAGGACAGGAGCUGAAGAAAGUACGGACAAGCAAAAGUGGCAGCCAACAGAAAAUGAGAAAACCUCAUCUCUGUUCCUGGUUGCAGUAUUUUUUGCACAAAAAGUCAUUGCUAUCAGAGACAGAUGAGUCAGUGCUCCUCUUGGAAAGCAGAAAGCACGCAGAGUGGAGGAGGUAUGGUCGUGGAAGCAGCAGUGCUUGGUAAAUGGUGUAGAUUCUUUCACAUUCACAAAGACCUACUUUUGCAGAAACCAUGUGUUGGUGGUUAGUAGGCUGGUGGAUACUGUUGGUGUUGGACAGCAAGGAGUAGUGUGAAUGAUAGUUUAGAUUUAAUGUGGUUUAUAGCCAGGAGGCUACUACAUUUCACUUAAACACAGACCCAGGUAUCUUCUCAAAAUUCAGUAAAGUGGUUCAGAAUUUUCUGUGAACUAAAUGAAAGCAGAAUUUGCUAAUUUGUUUUCAGCCAAAUGUUACUGUUUUUUUGGAGAGGCAAGAAGCACUAAAGAUCCUGAAGUGCUAAAGGUUGUUGUUUCAAGAUGGUUAUGCCUAUUGCUUAAACUGGCCUUCUUUAGUAGGAAUAGUAUGACCAAAUUCAUUUUCCAACAUUAUCCACUUCACUCAUAGUAGCUUACUGGGGUAGUUCAUAGAAUCAUAGAAUAAUUUAGGUUAGAAGGGACCUCUGGAGGUUAUGUAGUCCAGCCUCCUGCCCAAAGCAGGCCUAAUUAGACCAGGGUGGUUUGGGCUUUAUCUGGUCAAGUCUUGAACAGCUCCAAGAAUGGAGAUUAUGCAGCCUCUCUGGCGAACCCAUUCCAGUCUUGGACCAUCCUGACAGUAAAAAUUUUUUUGCUUAAGUCAGUCUGAAUUUCCUGUGUUCUGACUUAGGACUGUUGCCUCUCAUCCUAUCGCUGUAGUUGACAGUAAAUGCAAGUAAGCAGAGUUUUCACCUGUUUAAUUUGGUCACUAAAUUAAAUUAAGUUACCCACAGCUAGCUUGUAACACUAAGCAAAUGAAUCUCUCUCUCAUUUUAUUUGCCAUUAUAGUUUCCUGGUGAGUCGUAUUCUGCCUUGUCUUUUAUAGCUUUAACAUACCAGAAGUAAGUAUGUGAUUGCAAUUACUCCAAAACCAGGCAGAAAUAUACAGUUGCAAAUCAAAAAACAAAGUUUAGAUUGGAAUCAUGCCUGCAGGUGUGCUAGAGAGGAACAUGGGCUGUACACAUACUUUUCAGUAGAUUUAAAUAGGAAUGUGUGUCUGAAUCCAUUUGGAUUUACGGGCUAUAGGAAGUUAAGCAUUUUCAGGUUCUUUUUUUCACAGCAUUUUCCAUCCACCUUUAUAUGCAUCAUGCUCAUCUUGUAUCUUAUAUAUGCAGCCAAAUGCUACACCAGGAUAUGAAUUUUUUCAGAAGUGAAAUCCAAGGUUUUUGUUUAAGUGAUACAAAAAUAAGUGCUAUUCAGAAAGAACUUAGAAAUUGGUGCUUUGUACCAUACAGUUGUAGCCAGAUAUAGACACUGAAAAGUCAAGGUUUACUGUAAGAUGAUCUACAAAUUCAGUAACCUCAGAUUAAAUUUUGAUAGCAUAGCUCAUUUAUUGUAAGUAAAUAUGAGAUGCAAAAUAAUUAACAAAACAGUCAAGGUCGUGGGUUUUGAUGAGUGCAGAGGUCGUGUAUGUACAUCAACAUCCCGUCUUGUGGGAGAAAUCUCAAAAUUUCCCCACCUAUUUACAGUUUUUUUCCCGUGUAGCAGCUGUUAAAUAAUAAUCAAAUAGCUGCUAGAUAUUAUACAAGAUCUGGUCUAGGUUUUUUGCUAUUUUUAAUUUUUUGAUACCGUUUAAUUUCACUGCUGCAUCGUACCAGUCGUUCCUCUAGAUGGUGCUCCAUUACCAAGAGUUGCAUGUAACACUAUCCCAUGUGAAAGGCUUUGCAGAAAUCGUCCGGACGACACUCUCCUUUGUUUCCAAAUUCUAGCUUAUAAGAGUUUGUCUAAGUUCAUGGAUUACUUGUUUUGUAUAAUAUAAAUGUAGUGGUUCCUCCUUCGCAAGUCUUAACCUCUGUUUGCUGGUACGUAAAAUGCCACCUGUCUGGAACAGGAUCAUCUGUUACUCCGUGGACUGAUCCAUAUCUCAUAUUUCUUAUGGCAGCCAUUAACUGGUGUUAGCUGUCGAUCUGCUAGACGGUAGGUAACGUCACUGAUGCAAUCGUGGUAACUUUUGUUUGCAUAGUUCUCAAAUUCAUUCUCUCUGAAUAUUACAUAAAUAGUUAUGUAUGUGUUUAUUUUAUAUACAGAUAAAUGCAAAUUUUCAAAUAUGGAUGAAAUGUAUAUAAAAACAGGCAACAGAAAUCUGUGUACCUAUAUACUCAUAGGUCUAUAAAUGGAAUGAUCAGGUAAAUAAUGUUACUAUUCCAGUAAAAUCUAUCACAACAAUCCUGAAUCUCAACGUUAUACCUGAAAUAGCGUGUAACUCAUCAAGUUUUCUAAGUAGGAAAAUUAAUAAUAGUUGUAAGCGACUAGGUAGUUUUCACCGUUGUUGGCAUUACAAUUGCACUCCUCUGCAUCCAUAUCCAAGGGCCUGAUUCUGAUCCUGCAUCACCUGAAGUCACCAGGCAUCUCCGUGCUUGGAUCAAGCCCUCCGUGUGCGAUAUUCCCCGGUUGUUUAAUGCAUUCCCUCUCGUGCAAAUGGCCACUGCUUUCGUUCCAGUUCCCGUUCUGGGGGUUUAAUGAGGCACGAAAGGACUCUCUGCCCUAGAAAUAGUACCCGAUACUUGUUGGAUGAGCUGAUUCAGCAACUUCAAAUCUUACUAAAUCUUUUAAAGGAAUAAUUUUUCCGUAGGGCACAAUACUGCAUUUUCAACUUGUAAAAGCGCCCGGGAGCAGAGGCAUCCCGUAGCGUCCCUGACGGGACACACCGUGCCUGACUGCGUGGCUUGGAGUUCAGCACGUUGUCACAGCAUAGCUGGGUGUGCAAAUUUUACUGCAACUCUAUCAGCUAAAUAUAAUUUAAAUAGAAUUAUGUCCAUAUGUAUCCUAUACAUUUUCUCUGUUAAGUUGUGAGGAUCUUUAAUGGUUUAAUUUUGUAUGUCAGUUUUUCAAAAAUGCUAGCUAUUUUUGUUAAGGCGCCCACAAGCCUCAUAACAGUUUUUAGAAGUGUUACUUUAUUUAUUGAAAUAAAAAUAAGUAUAAAAAUG